UACGUAGGCAGCGAGCGUUGUUCGGAGUUACUGGGCGUAAAGGGUGUGUAGGCGGUUGUUUAAGUUUGGUGUGAAAUCCCCCGGCUUAACUGGGAGGGUGCGCCGAAUACUGAAUGACUUCGAGUGCGGGAGAGGAGAGUGGAAUUCCUGGUGUAGCGGUGAAAUGCGUAGAUAUCAGGAGGAACACCGGUGGUGUAGACGGCUCUCUGGACCGUAACUGACGCUGAGACACGAAAGCGUGGGUAGCAAACAGG
This 254-nucleotide ribosomal RNA is filed under the name uncultured bacterium. Its description in RNAcentral is "partial 16S ribosomal RNA". It matches the Rfam family "Bacterial small subunit ribosomal RNA", at positions 524 to 776 of the family's 1533-position model. The record is from RNAcentral.